RNAcentral lists this ribosomal RNA (394 nucleotides) under uncultured bacterium. RNAcentral's name for it is "partial 16S ribosomal RNA". It matches the Rfam family "Bacterial small subunit ribosomal RNA", at positions 523 to 917 of the family's 1533-position model. The record is from RNAcentral.
AUACGUAGGGUGCAAGCGUUAAUCGGAAUUACUGGGCGUAAAGCGUGCGCAGGCGGUUUUGUAAGACAGUGGUGAAAUCCCCGGGCUCAACCUGGGAACUGCCAUUGUGACUGCAAGGCUGGAGUGCGGCAGAGGGGGAUGGAAUUCCGCGUGUAGCAGUGAAAUGCGUAGAUAUGCGGAGGAACACCGAUGGCGAAGGCAAUCCCCUGGGCCUGCACUGACGCUCAUGCACGAAAGCGUGGGGAGCAAACAGGAUUAGAUACCCUGGUAGUCCACGCCCUAAACGAUGUCAACUGGUUGUUGGGGAUUUAUUUUCUCAGUAACGAAGCUAACGCGUGAAGUUGACCGCCUGGGGAGUACGGCCGCAAGGUUAAAACUCAAAUGAAUUGACGGG